This 428-nucleotide ribosomal RNA is filed under the name uncultured bacterium. RNAcentral describes it as "partial 16S ribosomal RNA". It matches the Rfam family "Bacterial small subunit ribosomal RNA", at positions 354 to 796 of the family's 1533-position model. The record is from RNAcentral.
GUAGGGAAUAUUGCGCAAUGGACGAAAGUCUGACGCAGCGACGCCGCGUGAGUGAUGAAGGCCUUAGGGUCGUAAAGCUCUGUUGAAUGGGAAGAAAAAAAUGACGGUACCAUUCGAGGAAGGACCGGCUAACUUCGUGCCAGCAGCCGCGGUAAUACGAGGGGUCCUAGCGUUGUUCGGAAUCAUUGGGCGUAAAGGGUGUGUAGGUGGCCAUGUAAGUCAGGUGUGAAAGCCGCGGGCUCAACCCGGGAAGUGCACGUGAUACUGCGUGGCUUGAGUACCGAAGAGGGUAGUGGAAGUCCAGGUGUAGUGGUGAAAUACGUAGAUAUCUGGUGGAACACCGGUGGCGAAGGCGGCUACCUGGUCGAGUACUGACACUGAGACACGAAAGCAUGGGGAUCAAACAGGAUUAGAUACCCUAGUAGUCC